Molecule: long non-coding RNA, 366 nt
Filed under: Physcomitrium patens
Lineage: Eukaryota; Viridiplantae; Streptophyta; Bryopsida; Funariales; Funariaceae
Description: long non-coding RNA (PPAT_LNC004727)
Source: RNAcentral
AUUCAAUUCUAUUUCCCGCACAUAACAUCUUAAAUAUUUGAAAAUAUCCCUCCCAUCAAAUUGGUCAACCUUAUUAAUCACUGCUUACAAUGCUUUGGUUGCCAAAGCCUCUUUGCGAUUAUUGCCCUGUUGCUAAAGAUUAGAUAUCUCUAAACCACGCCAUUAGAUUAUCACAAAAUUUUUUAUACAGUUAGCAUACCCAAUAAUCCAAACAAUAACAAUUUUUCAACCAUAGAUGUCAUGCCAAUUGCACGAACUAGCCAAAAUUUCUAGCCCUAAUUAUAUUUUAUAAAACCCAAAUCAUUGAUACAAACCCUGACUUUGAACAACAAUUGCUAAGUCCUCCAAAACCUUCUCAAAACAAUU